This 264-nucleotide unclassified non-coding RNA is filed under the name Hevea brasiliensis (rubber tree). Lineage: Eukaryota; Viridiplantae; Streptophyta; Magnoliopsida; Malpighiales; Euphorbiaceae. The record is from RNAcentral.
GUAGGCUCUAUGCUCCAGUUCCACAGGAAAAUGGCAAGAUUUGCCAUACACAAACCAAUAAAGUGUGGUUCUUAUUGGGGUUUUGAAGGCUGUCCUAUAAGCCCAUAAGGCAUCAUCUAGCUUUAAUGACCAGUUCUUCCUAGAACUACUAACAAUCUUCUCCAAAAUUUGUUUCAACUCCCUAUUUGAAAGCUCAACCUGCCCAUUGGUUUGGGAAUGGUAAGGUGUGGCUAUCUUGCGCUUAACCCCAUAUUUGCUCAAAAG